CGAACUUCUCCUCCAUCGACCUUAUCUACAGAAGCCGACACCGAGAAACUCCUUCGAAAUUUUGGGAUGCAUCUCUCCCCAAAAUACAGGUUUGAACGAUGUAGAAUUGGAGGAUUCAGCAUCGGGAAGGCCUUAAUCCUCACCCAUGGUGUCCCUGCUAUCGUAGCCAUCCGCCGCCGUCCGCAAAGCUUCGGAGGUCCGACGCCGAUGGUCGUUUCCGGCGAG
This 225-nucleotide unclassified non-coding RNA is filed under the name Hevea brasiliensis (rubber tree). The record is from RNAcentral. Lineage: Eukaryota; Viridiplantae; Streptophyta; Magnoliopsida; Malpighiales; Euphorbiaceae.